CAGUGCUCUGAAUGUCAAAGCGAUGUAAUUCGAAUAAGCGCGGGUAAACGGCGGGAGUAACUAUGACUCUCUUAAGGUAGCCAAAUGCCUCGUCAUCUAA
RNAcentral lists this ribosomal RNA (100 nucleotides) under Physconia enteroxantha. RNAcentral's name for it is "partial large subunit ribosomal RNA". It matches the Rfam family "Eukaryotic large subunit ribosomal RNA", at positions 2203 to 2302 of the family's 3401-position model. Lineage: Eukaryota; Fungi; Ascomycota; Lecanoromycetes; Caliciales; Physciaceae. The record is from RNAcentral.